RNAcentral lists this ribosomal RNA (870 nucleotides) under Escherichia coli. RNAcentral describes it as "partial 23S ribosomal RNA". It matches the Rfam family "Bacterial large subunit ribosomal RNA", at positions 357 to 1230 of the family's 2925-position model. Lineage: Bacteria; Pseudomonadati; Pseudomonadota; Gammaproteobacteria; Enterobacterales; Enterobacteriaceae. The record is from RNAcentral.
AUACAGGGUGACAGCCCCGUACACAAAAAUGCACAUGCUGUGAGCUCGAUGAGUAGGGCGGGACACGUGGUAUCCUGUCUGAAUAUGGGGGGACCAUCCUCCAAGGCUAAAUACUCCUGACUGACCGAUAGUGAACCAGUACCGUGAGGGAAAGGCGAAAAGAACCCCGGCGAGGGGAGUGAAAAAGAACCUGAAACCGUGUACGUACAAGCAGUGGGAGCACGCUUAGGCGUGUGACUGCGUACCUUUUGUAUAAUGGGUCAGCGACUUAUAUUCUGUAGCAAGGUUAACCGAAUAGGGGAGCCGAAGGGAAACCGAGUCUUAACUGGGCGUUAAGUUGCAGGGUAUAGACCCGAAACCCGGUGAUCUAGCCAUGGGCAGGUUGAAGGUUGGGUAACACUAACUGGAGGACCGAACCGACUAAUGUUGAAAAAUUAGCGGAUGACUUGUGGCUGGGGGUGAAAGGCCAAUCAAACCGGGAGAUAGCUGGUUCUCCCCGAAAGCUAUUUAGGUAGCGCCUCGUGAAUUCAUCUCCGGGGGUAGAGCACUGUUUCGGCAAGGGGGUCAUCCCGACUUACCAACCCGAUGCAAACUGCGAAUACCGGAGAAUGUUAUCACGGGAGACACACGGCGGGUGCUAACGUCCGUCGUGAAGAGGGAAACAACCCAGACCGCCAGCUAAGGUCCCAAAGUCAUGGUUAAGUGGGAAACGAUGUGGGAAGGCCCAGACAGCCAGGAUGUUGGCUUAGAAGCAGCCAUCAUUUAAAGAAAGCGUAAUAGCUCACUGGUCGAGUCGGCCUGCGCGGAAGAUGUAACGGGGCUAAACCAUGCACCGAAGCUGCGGCAGCGACGCUUAUGCGUUGUUGGGUA